GAACCUUUGACCGACAAGGCUGGAGACUUUGAAGGAUAUGGAUCCUAGGUGAUCUACCGUGUUGACGAGGGCCUUCACAGCGUACUCCUUAAGCAUACGGGAGGAAGAAAUGGGUAUAUUGACAUACGCCUGCUUUCCGUCUUCCUGCAUGUAGGCUAGUUCGAAAUACUCGGCUGCAGAAUACAGCUGCGACCGCAGCGUCUUGAGAUCCUGCAUAGAGGUUGGCGUUGAUUGAUAAGAAAAUGCCCAAGCUAUAUCCAUUCCAAAUGCCUGAUUUGGUGCUAUUUUUAAGCAUUUGGGCGUCUGAGUUGGUUCUAAAGAAGGUGGAGGGAAUAUGCAUCAUUGUAGGGGAAGAGAAGAAACACGAGCGUAAUUUGACGGAUAAUAAACCGACCUUGAUGGUUUCAGAGAAGAUGAAUGUCUCCCCCAUCUGCACCUCCUCCGGAGCGCCGCGCAUCCCCGUGUCGUUGGCGGCGCCUCUCCUCCGGAAGCUGGAUGGGAGUAUAGGAUGCUAUGGCGAUGGUGGUGCAGAAGUGGGGAGGCACUCAUGGUGAUGAAUUCAACGAGCUGGGAGGAAGAAGGCCCCGGGGGUUAGUCAUUAGCACGACAGGUAUUUUAUUUAACUACUACUAGUACUACUAGAAGAGUGGCUGAGGUGAUGGCCCGGCAACGGCAGAAACAGCUAUAUAUACAAUAAUGCCAUGCAAUGAUGCAAUGCAAGGCAAGGCAAGGCAACAGGAGACCUACCCUCUUUUCUAGGUAAUAAUUAAGGCAACAGGAGGAGACCUGUGAAUCUGUGAUAAGCAUAAGAUAACAACUGCUCUACUCACUCUACUGGAUGUUGACUGCAUAUGUAGCACUGCCUAGUACUCCCUCCGUCCCAUAAUAAGACGUUUUUUGACACUAGUGUAGUGUCAAAAAACCUCUUACAUUAUAGGACAGAGGAGUACUUUCCUAGUUUCUUAUAUUAUCAACAAGUCUACAACCUACAAGUACCCCACAGCUAUUGUGGUAAUCCAUUUGCACGUAGUACUUUCAUCACCCCUGAGAUGAGGCUCUGAUCCGUUCCUCUACAGCAGGGAGCAGGUGACGGGCACUUCAGAGUGAAUAGAAGUCGGUAGGGCUAGGCACUGAUUUAAUCACACGAGAUGCGUUUGGCUCACAGUGUGCAUCCAUCCAGGUAACCAAAAGGUUGAAAUCAAAAGAAAAGAGAGAAGACGGGAUGAGAUUUGGUUGGGAUGCUGAACCCGGACACCAGCUUGCUUUCUUUUCUUUCCAUGCAGCGUUCAUCAUUUCUGCCCCAUGCAUAUGGGCCCGCCCGCCUUCCUCAUGACCACACUACCGGUCGCAUCAUAAUCACAAACUCUAAAGAUACUCUUCUCAACAACAACCCCAGACUUGUUCCAUGUGUGCAGCUUACUGAUAUGAACCUUUCACUAAAUGUGUGCAGGGCUGGGCAGGCACCCACAGGAUCCAGAAGAAGUGCUUUGCUUUCCCGUUGUACUACCGUAUAGGCUCAACUCCAAGCAAGAACCUUGGGGGAUUAACUAGGAACAGUACUUCCUGUGUCUGGGACAUGAUUGGCUUUCGCCUUGAUUAAGCAAAGUCAAAAGUGCUCUGUCCUCUGUGUCUCUCUCGCCCAUACUAUAUUGUUUUAUUUAUGGCGGUUGUGUGUGUCUUAUUGCUUUCACACUGCUUGGGCUGGGGCAACGGCUCGGGAAUCUGGAGCCUGCAUCUGUGCCGCUGAUUCAUCAGAAAUUGGCACACAUCGCGGUGCCGGAUCAGCAGGCAGGCAGCCGUGCGUGGUGCUGGAUAAACAGAUGGAUAGGUUGUACAGAAAUGAAUAGUACGUACUUGUGUUGUGGACUUGUGGUGAUGGAAUGGCAGAUGUUGCUGCCAAGACGCAAAUAAAAUUUGUCUAUGUUUCA
Hordeum vulgare subsp. vulgare (domesticated barley) is the source of this 1928-nucleotide long non-coding RNA. RefSeq lists it as uncharacterized. The record is from RefSeq and is a predicted model, not a curated record. The transcript is spliced from 3 exons. Lineage: Eukaryota; Viridiplantae; Streptophyta; Magnoliopsida; Poales; Poaceae.